CCUACGGGUGGCAGCAGUGAGGAAUAUUGGUCAAUGGGCGCGAGCCUGAACCAGCCAAGCCGCGUGAAGGAUGAAGGCACUGCGGAUCGUAAACUUCUUUUAUAAGGGAACAAAGACUGGGACGCGUCCCCUGUUGGCUGUACCUUAAGAAAAAGCAUCGGCUAACUCCGUGCCAGCAGCCGCGGUAAUACGGAGGGUGCGAGCGUUAUCCGGAUUUAUUGGGUUUAAAGGGUGCGGAGGCGGGUUGUUAAGUCAGCUGUGAAAGCCCGGGGCUCAACCCUGGAACUGCAGUUGAUACUGGCAGUCUUGAGUACGGGAGAGGUAGGCGGAAUGCGUGGUGUAGCGGUGAAAUGCAUAGAUAUCACGAAGAACUCCGAUUGCGAAGGCAGCUUACUGGACUGCCACUGACGGUGAGGCACGAAAGCGUGGGUAUCAAACAGGAUUAGAUACCCCGGUAGUC
Molecule: ribosomal RNA, 460 nt
Filed under: uncultured bacterium
Lineage: Bacteria
Description: partial 16S ribosomal RNA
Rfam family: Bacterial small subunit ribosomal RNA
Source: RNAcentral